GAUGAGCGCUGGCGGCGUGCCUAACACAUGCAAGUCGAACGGAGAUUACGGACGGAAGUUUUCGGAUGGAAGACUGUAAUUCUUAGUGGCGGACGGGUGAGUAACGCGUGGGCAACCUGCCCUAUACAGGGGGAUAGCAGCUGGAAACGGCUGGUAAGACCGCAUAAGUCGGCGAGACCGCAUGGUUUUGCCGGGAAAUGAGCAAUCAGGUAUAGGAUGGGCCCGCGUCCGAUUAGCCAGUUGGCAGGGUAAAAGCCUACCAAAGCAACGAUCGGUAGCCGGACUGAGAGGUCGGACGGCCACAUUGGGACUGAGACACGGCCCAAACUCCUACGGGAGGCAGCAGUGGGGGAUAUUGCACAAUGGAGGAAACUCUGAUGCAGCGACGCCGCGUGAGUGAAGAAGUAUUUCGGUAUGUAAAGCUCUAUCAGCAGGGAAGAUGAUGACGGUACCUGACUAAGAAGCCCCGGCUAACUACGUG
This 481-nucleotide ribosomal RNA is filed under the name uncultured bacterium. Its description in RNAcentral is "partial 16S ribosomal RNA". It matches the Rfam family "Bacterial small subunit ribosomal RNA", at positions 28 to 507 of the family's 1533-position model. The record is from RNAcentral.